GACGAGGAUACUGUGUGUGCAGAGGAAAGAAGAGAGCCGGGUCUAUCAUAGACUGCAGCGGACCACGUGGGAAAAGGUAACGCUGACCCUGACGUGAGGAGAAGUUGAAAGUCGCAUUGGAUUUCAUCCAAAUGACUCGUCAGCUGCAAAAGGUGAAACCUGCACACUACAGUGCAUCAUGUGGGAUCAAUAGCUGUCCCGCCAAAAAGUCAUCCUUAAAGAGGGUCUCCGGAAGAGCAAAGGUCACUGAGGAGAAACACGUACUGUAUGAGAGGGAAAACGAGCAGGGAGGGAGACCCACGUGCAGUCCAGGACCUCCUCCAUCAUAUGAAAAGCUUUGUCAUCAAUAAAUCAGACG
This is a long non-coding RNA of Solea senegalensis (Senegalese sole), 358 nucleotides long. RefSeq lists it as uncharacterized. The record is from RefSeq and is a predicted model, not a curated record. The transcript is spliced from 3 exons. NCBI's taxonomy places the organism in Eukaryota, Metazoa, Chordata, Actinopteri, Pleuronectiformes, Soleidae.